AAAAGACAAACUGAAAGCACUUAAAUUUUAGUGUUUUGUUUUCACAUUUUCUAUAUCUUAUAUUUCCUUUAAUUGGCUGCUAGAGUGAGAGGUUAUGCUUCUUUUUAGUUCCUGAGAAAGUGCAGGAAAGUAACAGAAAUUGAAGUUCCGUUUUAAUCUUACAGAACGUUCGUGUUGGUAACUCAGUUUAGGGUUUAUGGAAAGUGAAUAUGGGUUUUGAGUAUAUAUAUAUAGCUUUUAGUAUCUAUUGCUUUAUACACUUAUGGUCUGUGUUAUCCUGCAUCAUUUCUGCUUUUUCAUACAAUGUGAUUGCAAUGCUGAUGCUUGAAGGCUUGAUUCAAGUAAAGGAAAAUUGAUUGUGUCAGUGAAUUUAUAAAUAUUUUAUGUGUUUAUUGUGUCAAUACCAGCCAAAACUGGCAUAUGU
RNAcentral lists this unclassified non-coding RNA (424 nucleotides) under Hevea brasiliensis (rubber tree). The record is from RNAcentral. Lineage: Eukaryota; Viridiplantae; Streptophyta; Magnoliopsida; Malpighiales; Euphorbiaceae.